Molecule: long non-coding RNA, 678 nt
Organism: Acanthochromis polyacanthus (spiny chromis)
Lineage: Eukaryota; Metazoa; Chordata; Actinopteri; Pomacentridae
Exons: 3
Source: RefSeq, a predicted model, not a curated record
UUUAAUGAGCUCUAUAGAAAGUGGUGUGUAUAGACGGACAGCUGAACUUUGACUCUGCGCUAGAAUAAAGAGGUUAAAGAAGAGGGGAGGAGUGUAGAGCUGAGUUUGUAGGAGGGACCAUCAUUAAGAGAAGUGAGCAGUUCCUGGUUUGUCAGAGAAGAAAGAAGAGAAGCAGCAUUAAAGCAUCAGAGCCUCAACAUGAAAGUCUUCCACACUUUUUUCUGUUUCCUCUUCAUCGCACUGCAGGAUGAAAACACUGGAUGUGUCAAUGCAGACGGCCGAAUCCACACAGUAAUGGAAGGAGAAGACAUCACAGUUACAUGUCUAUUUACUUUACCUGGGAUCAAAAACAUAUUCUGCCGGGGAACAUGUGAAGAAGGAAACAUUCUCAUUGAAACAACAGAGGAUACGGCUGAGGAUGGCAGAUACAGCAUUAGAUAUGAAGAGGACAUUCCUGAGUCAGAUUAUUUUCUGCAUGUGAGCAUCAAACAGCUGAAGAAGUCUGACUCUGGUUGGUACAGAUGUUCUAUGGAAAGAUCUUUGCUUCCAGUUUCAUCCUGGGAUUUUCAGAUUGUUGUCAAAGCAGAAACUCUUCCAACUUUUCCACCAUCAUCGUUUUUCCCAUCAUCCUCCACUGAAUCCUCCGAGCAGCCCGGCUCAUCUCAAGCAUGGUCAGGU